RNAcentral lists this ribosomal RNA (405 nucleotides) under uncultured bacterium. Its description in RNAcentral is "bacterial SSU rRNA". It matches the Rfam family "Bacterial small subunit ribosomal RNA", at positions 355 to 777 of the family's 1533-position model. The record is from RNAcentral.
UGGGGAAUAUUGCACAAUGGGGGAAACCCUGAUGCAGCGACGCCGCGUGAAGGAUGAAGUAUUUCGGUAUGUAAACUUCUAUCAGCAGGGAAGAAAAUGACGGUACCUGACUAAGAAGCCCCGGCUAACUACGUGCCAGCAGCCGCGGUAAUACGUAGGGGGCAAGCGUUAUCCGGAUUUACUGGGUGUAAAGGGAGCGUAGACGGUCUUGUAAGUCUGAUGUGAAAACCCGGGGCUCAACCCCGGGACUGCAUUGGAAACUAUAGGACUAGAGUGUCGGAGAGGCAAGUGGAAUUCCUAGUGUAGCGGUGAAAUGCGUAGAUAUUAGGAGGAACACCAGUGGCGAAGGCGGCUUGCUGGACGAUGACUGACGUUGAGGCUCGAAAGCGUGGGGAGCAAACAGGA